AGAUUGAACGUCUAGUCGGCAUGCCUAACACAUGGCAAGUCGGAACGGUAACAGGCCCUUCGGGGUGCUGACGAGUGGCGGACGGGUGAGUAAUGCGUAGGAAUCUACCCACGAGUGGGGGAUAGCCCGGUAGAAAUCCGGGAUUAAUUACCGCAUAUGGCCCCUACGGGGUAAAGGCGGGGGAUCGUAAGACCUCGCGCUGGUGGAUGAGCCUACGUCCGAUUACG
RNAcentral lists this ribosomal RNA (227 nucleotides) under uncultured prokaryote. RNAcentral's name for it is "partial 16S ribosomal RNA". It matches the Rfam family "Bacterial small subunit ribosomal RNA", at positions 40 to 245 of the family's 1533-position model. The record is from RNAcentral.